CCUACGGGUGGCAGCAGUGGGGAAUAUUGCACAAUGGGGGAAACCCUGAUGCAGCGACGCCGCGUGAGCGAUGAAGUAUUUCGGUAUGUAAAGCUCUAUCAGCAGGGAAGAAAAUGACGGUACCUGACUAAGAAGCCCCGGCUAACUACGUGCCAGCAGCCGCGGUAAUACGUAGGGGGCAAGCGUUAUCCGGAUUUACUGGGGGUAAAGGGAGCGUAGACGGCUGUGCAAGCCAGAUGUGAAAGCCCGGGGCUCAACCCCGGGACUGCAUUUGGAACUGUGUGGCUGGAGUGUCGGAGAGGCAGGCGGAAUUCCUAGUGUAGCGGUGAAAUGCGUAGAGAUGAGGAGGAAUACCAGUGGCGAAGGCGGCCUGUUGGAAGAUGACUGACGUUGAGGCGCGAAAGCGUGGGGAGCAAACAGGAUUAGAUACCCUGGUAGUC
Molecule: ribosomal RNA, 440 nt
Filed under: uncultured bacterium
Lineage: Bacteria
Description: partial 16S ribosomal RNA
Rfam family: Bacterial small subunit ribosomal RNA
Source: RNAcentral